This 1461-nucleotide ribosomal RNA is filed under the name uncultured Parcubacteria group bacterium. Its description in RNAcentral is "bacterial SSU rRNA". It matches the Rfam family "Bacterial small subunit ribosomal RNA". The record is from RNAcentral.
AGAGUUUGAUCAUGGCUCAGGACGAACGCUAGCGGCGUGUCUAAGGCAUGCAAGUCGAGCGACGUGCCCCGACUUCGGUUGGGGAAUACGAGCGGCAAACGGGUGAGUAACACACUGGUAAUCUGCCUCUUUCUCAAGCAUAGCCCGUCGAAAGACGGAUUAAUACUUGAUAGUAAUGCGGGGACAUAAGUCAUUCGCAUUUAAAGAUUUUUCGGAAAGAGAGGAGCCUAUGGCUGAUUAGCUUGUUGGUAGGGUAAAAGCUUACCAAGGCUAUGAUCAGUAGCAGGCGUGAGAGCGUGACCUGCCUCACCGGGACUGAGACACUGCCCGGACUCCUACGGGAGGCUGCAGUCAAGAAUCUUCCGCAAUGGGCGAAAGCCUGACGGAGCGACGCCGCGUGCAGGAUGAAGGCCUUCGGGUUGUAAACUGCUUUUAUAUGGGAAGAAUUUGUGACGGUACCAUAUGAAUAAGAGGUUGCUAACUCUGUGCCAGCAGCAGCGGUAAUACAGAGACCUCAAGUGUUGUCCGGAUUUAUUGGGCGUAAAGCGUCCGCAGGUUGUUUGGAAAGUCAGGAGUUAAAACUUAGGGCUCAACCCUAAGACCACUCUUGAAACUUCCAAACUAGAGGAUGGGAGAGGCAAGCGGAACUACAGGUGUAGUCGUAAUAAGCGUUGAUAUCUGUAGGAACACCAAAGGCGAAGGCAGCUUGCUGGAACAUUCCUGACACUCAUGGACGAAAGCGUGGGUAGCGAACGGGAUUAGAUACCCCGGUAGUCCACGCCCUAAACGAUGUGCACUAGGUAUUGGCAGUAUCGACCCUGUCAGUGCCGUUUACAAAAGCUAACGCGUUAAGUGCACCGCCUGGGGAGUACGGCCGCAAGGCUAAAACUCAAAGGAAUAGACGGGGACCCGCACAAGCGGUGGAGCACGUGGUUUAAUUCGAUGAUAAGCGGAGAACCUUACCCAGACUUGACAUAUAGCUGCAUAUUUCCGGAGACGGAAAUAGCCUUCGAGGGUGCUAUACAGGUGCUGCAUGGUUGCCGUCAGCUCGUGCCGUGAGGUGUACCGUUAAGUCGGGAAACGAGCGCAACCCACGUUGUAUGUUAAAUUGUACAUGCAAGACUGCCUGGGCAACCAGGAGGAAGGAGUGGACGACGUCAAAUCAGCAUGGCUCUUACGUCUGGGGCUACACACAUGCUACAAUGGCCGGUACAAAGGGUAGCCAAGCCGCGAGGCGGAGCUAAUCCCAGAAAACCGGUCCCAGUUCAGAUUGAAGGCUGCAAUUCGCCUUCAUGAAGCCGGAAUCGCUAGUAAACGCGCAUCAGCCACGGCGCGUUGAAUACGUUCUCGGGUCUUGUACUCACCGCCCGUCAUACCACGAAAGUUGGCAAUACCCAAAGCUCUCUAGUAUUAGGGGGUUAAGGUAGGGUCAGUAAUCAGGGUAAAGUCGUAACAAGGUAA